GACGAACGCUGGCGGCGUGCCUAACACAUGCAAGUCGAACGGAAGUAAGUUUUCGGAUUUACUUUAGUGGCGAACGGGUGAGUAACGCGUGAGGAACCUGCCUUUCAGUGGGGGACAACAGUUGGAAACGACUGCUAAUACCGCAUAACAUAUUCGGACCGCAUGAUCUGAAUAUCAAAGCUUUAUGUGCUGAAAGAUGGCCUCGCGUCUGAUUAGAUAGUUGGUGAGGUAACGGCCCACCAAGUCGACGAUCAGUAGCCGGUCUGAGAGGAUGAACGGCCACAUUGGGACUGAGAUACGGCCCAGACUCCUACGGGAGGCAGCAGUGGGGAAUAUUGCGCAAUGGGGGAAACCCUGACCCAGCAACGCCGCGUGAAGGAAGAAGGCCUUCGGGUUGUAAACUUCUAAUUACCAGGGACGAAGGUCACGGACGGUACCUGGAGAAAAAGCAACGGCUAACUACGUGCCAGCAGCCGCGGUAAUACGUAGGUUGCAAGUGUUGUCCGGAUUUACUGGGUGUAAAGGGCGUGUAGGCGGAGAUGCAAGUUGGGAGUGAAAUCCCGGGGCUCAACCCCGGAACUGCUUUCAAAACUGCAUCCCUGUGAGUAUCGGAGAGGCAAGCGGAAUUCCUAGUGUAGCGGUGAAAUGCGUAGAUAUUAGGAGGAACACCAGUGGCGAAGGCGGCUUGCUGGACGACAACUGACGCUGAGGCGCGAAAGGUGGGGGAG
This 728-nucleotide ribosomal RNA is filed under the name uncultured bacterium. Its description in RNAcentral is "bacterial SSU rRNA". It matches the Rfam family "Bacterial small subunit ribosomal RNA", at positions 28 to 768 of the family's 1533-position model. The record is from RNAcentral.